This 72-nucleotide transfer RNA is filed under the name Camelus bactrianus (Bactrian camel). It matches the Rfam family "tRNA". Rfam says of the family: Transfer RNA (tRNA) molecules are approximately 80 nucleotides in length. Their secondary structure includes four short double-helical elements and three loops (D, anti-codon, and T loops). Further hydrogen bonds mediate the characteristic L-shaped molecular structure. tRNAs have two regions of fundamental functional importance: the anti-codon, which is responsible for specific mRNA codon recognition, and the 3' end, to which the tRNAs corresponding amino acid is attached (by aminoacyl-tRNA synthetases). tRNAs cope with the degeneracy of the genetic code in two manners: having more than one tRNA (with a specific anti-codon) for a particular amino acid; and 'wobble' base-pairing, i.e. permitting non-standard base-pairing at the 3rd anti-codon position. The record is from Rfam by way of RNAcentral. Lineage: Eukaryota; Metazoa; Chordata; Mammalia; Artiodactyla; Camelidae. RNAcentral also lists the same sequence under 2 other names.
GAGGGUAAAGCUCAGUGGUAGAGCACAUGCUUAGCAUGCAUGAGGUCCUGGGUUCAAUCCCCAGUACCACCA